This is a small nucleolar RNA of Bombina bombina (fire-bellied toad), 220 nucleotides long. RefSeq annotates it as small nucleolar RNA U3. The transcript has a single exon. The record is from RefSeq and is a predicted model, not a curated record. Lineage: Eukaryota; Metazoa; Chordata; Amphibia; Anura; Bombinatoridae.
AAGACUAUACUUUCAGGGAUCAUUUCUAUAGUUUGUGACUGGAGGAAUGUGUUCUAAAGUGUAUGAACUUGCUAACCACGAGGAAGAGGUUAAGUGUUUUCUCCUUAGCGAGAAGUGAGUUUACAGUGUUGCAGAACUGCAGCUGCUGUUAAGCUGUUGAUGACCGUCCCUAUCUCUUUUCACAGGAGAUAUGGAGGGAGAAAAACACAAACUGAGUGGU